GACGAACGCUGGCGGCGUGCCUAAUACAUGCAAGUCGAACGAGAGCGCCCGGUGCUUGCGCUGGUCAAUCUAGUGGCGAACGGGUGAGUAACACGUGGGUAACCUGCCCAUCAGAGGGGGAUAACAUCCGGAAACGGAUGCUAAAACCGCAUAGGUCUUCGAGCCGCAUGGCUUGAAGAGGAAAAGAGGCGCAAGCUUCUGCUGAUGGAUGGACCCGCGGUGCAUUAGCUAGUUGGUGAGGUAACGGCUCACCAAGGCCGUGAUGCAUAGCCGACCUGAGAGGGUGAUCGGCCACAUUGGGACUGAGACACGGCCCAAACUCCUACGGGAGGCAGCAGUGGGGAAUCUUCCGCAAUGGACGCAAGUCUGACGGAGCAACGCCGCGUGAGUGAAGAAGGUUUUCGGAUCGUAAAACUCUGUUGUUAGAGAAGAACAAGUGCUAGAGUAACUGUUAGCGCCUUGACGGUAUCUAACCAGAAAGCCACGGCUAACUACGUG
Molecule: ribosomal RNA, 498 nt
Filed under: uncultured bacterium
Lineage: Bacteria
Description: partial 16S ribosomal RNA
Rfam family: Bacterial small subunit ribosomal RNA
Source: RNAcentral